Molecule: ribosomal RNA, 250 nt
Filed under: uncultured bacterium
Lineage: Bacteria
Description: partial 16S ribosomal RNA
Rfam family: Bacterial small subunit ribosomal RNA
Source: RNAcentral
UACGUAGGGUGCAAGCGUUGUCCGGAAUUAUUGGGCGUAAAGAGCUCGUAGGCGGUUUGUCGCGUCUGCUGUGAAACCUAGGGCUUAACCCUGGGCCUGCAGUGGGUACGGGCAGACUAGAGUGCGGUAGGGAGACUGGAAUUCCUGGUGUAGCGGUGAAAUGCGCAGAUAUCAGGAGGAACACCGGUGGCGAAGGCGGGUCUCUGGGCCGUAACUGACGCUGAGGAGCGAAGCAUGGGGAGCGAACAGG